UUUUUUUUUUUUUUUUUUUUUUUUUUUUUAGACAGAGUCUUGCUCUGUAGCCAAGGCUGGAGUGCAGUGGCACAAUCUCAGCUCACUGCAACCUCCACCUCCCAGGUUCAAGCAAUUCCCCUGCCUCGGCCUCCAAAGUAGCUGGGAUUACAGGCACAUGCCAUCAUGCCUGGCUAAUUUUUUGUAUUUUUAGUAGAGAUGGAGUUUCACCAUAUUGGUCCGGCUGGUCUCGAACUCCUGACCUCAUGAUCUGCCCUUGUUGGACUCCCAAAGUGCUGGGAUUACAAGCAUGAACCACCAUGCCCAGCCCGAUGCAGACAAACUUUAGCCAGAGAUACCAGUUAAGUGAUAGUGAAUUGCAUACUUCACUUUUUUUUCAUUUUUUCAGAUAGGGUAGGAAGGUGUAUACUUCACUUUUAAGCACUCAUCCUAAGAAGAUUUAGGAAACCAAGCAAAUCCAUGGCAAAUUGAAGGCAGAUAAUAAAUUUGAAGAUUUUCACCAGUGAAGUGUUUAAUGACUUACCCUGUUACUCAUAUUGUGAGUGCCGGCUCUAAGCACUGUUCCUUUCUCAACAAGGAGGCACUGAAGCAUUUUCUUAUACCACAUCACAUGUUUGUAUGCUCUAUCCCCACUACGGUAGUCACAGCUGGUUGAGUCAGAUUUACACCCGGAAGAAAAGUAGCCAUGGAUAUCCUGGGUGAACUGGCUCUGGGUUCUGACCACCGACAGGUGCCCUUUAUUGUAUAAUGUCUGUCUAACAGAUCCUCUCACAGUGUCUGAGCAUAAGACAUCAAUAGAGACUUGCAGAAAACACAAUGGCAAAGAAGCCAAGAUGCACAAAGAGUAAAGCUCGUAGAAGCUGUGAGUAAGAAGAAACCUGGAGAUGCUGAGGAAAGCAGAGAGGCCAGUCAGAAGCAGCAGGAAAGAAAGAUGCUGAGCCAGAGAAGAGCUGAGUUCUGUGGGUGGGGCAGCCAAUGUCCUCUGGACAGGUGCUCCUGAGUUUCCAGGACUAUUGUCUCACAAGUAGAGCCCUUCAUGUCACCUAUGCAGUGUUCUGAUACCAAGAAGCUGGCUGUUUGGCUGCUUAGAUUUUUUUUUUCCUGCUCUUAUUUUCUGUGUCUCUAAAAAGACCAAAUUCGAAUUAAUUGAGAUAACUUGUGUAAUCUCUUGCAAACUGAAGAAAACUGACACAUCUCACUGAGUGAGAUAGCAGCAUUGCUUCAUAGUUAAUAAUGAAAACAGAUCAAGCACAGUGUCUCAUGCCAAUAAUCUUAGCAC
This 1279-nucleotide long non-coding RNA is filed under the name Macaca fascicularis (crab-eating macaque). RNAcentral's name for it is "lncRNA (ENSMFAG00000048969.1)". Lineage: Eukaryota; Metazoa; Chordata; Mammalia; Primates; Cercopithecidae. The record is from RNAcentral.